This 215-nucleotide unclassified non-coding RNA is filed under the name Hevea brasiliensis (rubber tree). Lineage: Eukaryota; Viridiplantae; Streptophyta; Magnoliopsida; Malpighiales; Euphorbiaceae. The record is from RNAcentral.
GAUUAUUCCUUCAUCUCAAGGAUAUCAAAACACAUCUCAAGAGCCACUCCCACCAAAUGUGUUUGAUCGACAAAGGCUGUUUACAACCAUAUUCAAUCCAACUCGUCUAGCCAAUGGAGAAGGCGCAACCCUUGGAACUCUAAUAUUUGACAUUGAGCUAGUUCGGAUAAACCAUCACUGAUAUCAACUUACGACGGCAUCAAAGUGGUAAUAUG